UUCCUAGCUUUCGAAGAUUGGAUUGUGCAUCGGGAAUUGUUCCUGCAUCGAAUUUGCAAUAUGCGUGGAUACCAUAGUAGUGGAUUCAACUGCAGGAUUACUAGAAGAAUUGCUACAGGAUUGUUUGCUACACAACAAGUAAGUUAUUCUAACUGUUGUUGUGUGUUUGUAAUCUCUACACAUGAAUUAAUUGUAAAUCUUGAUCUUUUUCUUGACUGUUAUUUCCGCUGCGUAUCAUUAGAUGAUGUCAAGGAUUU
RNAcentral lists this long non-coding RNA (257 nucleotides) under Salvia miltiorrhiza (redroot sage). RNAcentral's name for it is "long non-coding RNA (SMIL_LNC013851)". Lineage: Eukaryota; Viridiplantae; Streptophyta; Magnoliopsida; Lamiales; Lamiaceae. The record is from RNAcentral.